UGCUUGUUUCAGAAUCAAAAAAUAUUCCAGACCCUGAGUUGGUGGUGAAGUUUGGUCCUGUAAACAGCACACUGGGCUUCCUUCCCUGGCACAUCAGGCUCACAGAGUUCAUCUCCCUGCCAUCCCACAGAAAUGUCUCGUAUGAGGACUUGUUGGGUGCCCUGCAGCGGUACGGGGCUUGUCAGCAGCGGCUUGGACAGUGAGGCAGCAAAGAGAUUAUUAAAUAAACAAGUGUGGGCUUUACACAGCCAGGACAUCCCGGACAGGUAAUGACUACCGUCCCUCAUUACUCGUCGGCUCAGCUAUGCCCAUCUGCUGGACCUCUAAUACAACAAGACAUUUCAAAUAUAUGGAAACCAGGAAACAUAGCCAGCCAAUCUUUACCACCAGCUUGUCUUCUAAUGAAUUCACAUUCCAGGACUCAUGGAACAUGCUCGGUAAAACAAGAAAAAAUGGCACUGACGUAAGACUGUCUCCACAGACUCAGUGGUCCUAACACCCUUGUUUGUUUCAUUCUUUCUCCAGCUGUCAUUUACUGCUGAUGGAAAAAUUGCCUUCACAUAGACUAUAAAGAAAAAACAAAUCUUUGUGUGCAAGCUGCAUCACAAGGAAAUAUAGCAGCAGUUUAGGGUCAUGCAGCACAGGAGCUGAGCAGCAGAGUGGCUAAUGUGUAAAUAUGAGAAAUUCCUGUAGCUCUGUUUGUCUCUGUGGCCUCCAGCUUGCAGUCACGUUCAUGUGUAGUGUUGUUUCAUGCACAUACAGACGGUUGUUCAACAUUGUUUUUGGUCUGAAAUAAAGAAAUGCACUGUGUGUA
This is a non-coding RNA of Neolamprologus brichardi, 814 nucleotides long. The record is from RefSeq and is a predicted model, not a curated record. NCBI's taxonomy places the organism in Eukaryota, Metazoa, Chordata, Actinopteri, Cichliformes, Cichlidae.